CUAUCCUUGUUGGUGCAAGUGCAUGGGGGGAUUUUCUGGGAAUGAUAGCGGGUCAUGCAUACUACUUCUUGGCGUUUGUGUAUCCACGAAUGACGGCUCGGCAUCCCUUGAAAACUCCAUCUUUCCUCAAAGCCCUGUUCGCUGAUGAACCUGUUGUGAUUGCACGGCCAGAAGAUGUGCCUUUUGAUGAAAUCCACCAAGACUGAAUCUUCAUCUUCUUCAAAAUCAGCCACACGCACCUUGACCUGACCUUUGUAGUUAAAAGGGCAUCCACUAGUGACUUUUGUAGUUGUGGAUAAUGUGGAAACGAGAAUGUUGGUUCUGAUUUUUCCUUA
Non-coding RNA from Camelina sativa (false flax), 335 nucleotides. The record is from RefSeq and is a predicted model, not a curated record. Lineage: Eukaryota; Viridiplantae; Streptophyta; Magnoliopsida; Brassicales; Brassicaceae.